AACGAACGCUGGCGGCAUGCCUAACACAUGCAAGUCGAACGAGACCUUCGGGUCUAGUGGCGCACGGGUGCGUAACGCGUGGGAACCUGCCCUUAGGUUCGGAAUAACUCCCCGAAAGGGGUGCUAAUACCGGAUAAUGUCUUCGGACCAAAGGUUUAUCGCCUUUGGAUGGGCCCGCGUUGGAUUAGCUAGUUGGUAGGGUAAAAGCCUACCAAGGCGACGAUCCAUAGCUGGUCUGAGAGGAUGAUCAGCCACACUGGGACUGAGACACGGCCCAGACUCCUACGGGAGGCAGCAGUGGGGAAUAUUGGACAAUGGGCGAAAGCCUGAUCCAGCAAUGCCGCGUGAGUGAUGAAGGCCUUAGGGUUGUAAAGCUCUUUUACCCGGGAUGAUAAUGACAGUACCGGGAGAAUAAGCGCCGGCUAACUCCGUG
RNAcentral lists this ribosomal RNA (433 nucleotides) under uncultured bacterium. RNAcentral describes it as "partial 16S ribosomal RNA". It matches the Rfam family "Bacterial small subunit ribosomal RNA", at positions 29 to 507 of the family's 1533-position model. The record is from RNAcentral.